CUUAGCUGACGAGUGGCGGACGGGUGAGUAAAGUCUGGGGAUCUGCCUAAUGGAGGGGGAGUAACCACUGGAAACGGUGGCUAAUACCGCAUAAAAGUCGGAAGACCAAAAGCUUGGGACCGAGAGGCCAGGCGCCAAGAGAUGAACCCCAGAUGGGAUUAGCUAGAAGGUGAGGUAAUAGCUCACCUUGGCGACGAUCUCUAGCUGGUCUGAGAGGAUGACCAGCCACACUGGAACUGAGAGACGGACCAAG
Molecule: ribosomal RNA, 253 nt
Filed under: uncultured bacterium
Lineage: Bacteria
Description: partial 16S ribosomal RNA
Rfam family: Bacterial small subunit ribosomal RNA
Source: RNAcentral